GCCAGCCAGGCCCACCGGGGCUCCCGCCAGCCUCUCUACCUCAGUCACCCCUGACUCGGACUGGGGGAGGCGCAGUACCCAGGGGUCUGCUGGUCUCCCGGCACAGGACUGGGGUUCAGCACUUACUCGGGGCGGGGUGGUUCCCCUCUCUGGAAUGUAGGGCUCCUCACUCCCCGAACCCCCAGUGCCUGCUGCCUCGGUUUGGGGGAGGCGCUCACACACUCUGUUCUUUGUUCCUGUUUGGGGUGUCGAGCUGGGACAUUGGUCCCCAGGUGGGACAAGGGAAGUUUUUACAUUUCGGAGUUAAUGGGAAUAAAGGAGGGGUAGUGGAGGGAGAUGAGGUUUAUGCGUGUGUAUCUUUUUUAUUGUUAAAUAAAGUGGAGGGAGUCAAGGAUGGUGGCCUCCUUCCUGGCUUGUGACUUCCACAGGGCCAACAUCAGGGAACCAAGCACUGGAACAGCUGGCGUGGCGUGGGGUGGGGUCCAGACCUCACGUCAUGUCGUCCCUGGCCCACCCUGUGACCCGGCAGAGUCUGUGGCGGACACCAGAGGAUACAGUUGCUGCAGUGUCUGAGUAAACAGGAGGGGCCCACACCCUGGGCUCAGGGUCCCCGCCUCCCCUCACUGCAGGAUGAGCAGCUCGAAAGCAGCAGCGUCUGGGGCAGAGGGACACGUGAAACCCGCGUGGCCCGGGGAGAGGAGACUGUUCUGAAUAGGAGGAAGAGGAGUCCCAGCCCCACCUGGGGAGCCCCGGCGAGCUGCGCCCCGGGCCUGACCGGCAGGAGCAGCCCGGGUCAGUGCAGGGUGUGAGCCGGCCUGGGCCCCAUGCCCGGAUGACUGGACAGGGGCUGCUGGGCCAGAGGCCAGGCCCGGAGGAGGGAGGAAGCGCCUCACGUGUCCCGCCAGGCUAUCCCUGCCUAGCACCCGCCCCAACAGUGUUUGGGGGGAAAACAGACCCAGUAACUAUGGUAACCUGGAACUGGGGCUCCCAGGAACUUAGAGCUCACUUCCCUCCAGGGGCAGCCCUGGUGCUUGGCCGAGCUUCCUGUCCAGGAUCCCUCCGGCCUCCGGGCUGUACUGGAGGUAAUGCCGUGAGAGCCGGAACCUUGGGACCAGCUCUCCUGAGCGGGCUCAGGCCUUGCCUGUUAACCUGCCAUGUCCUGGGACCCUUGGGCUUCCGUGACCCAUCCGAGACAGGCCUCAGCAACGCUGCCGCCUAGGCCCGCUCUUUGCUCCCCUCUCCUGUCCUCUCUCCAUCCUCUAUCUCACUGGGUCCUCUAACUUGCUGUUCUUUCUCCUCCUGACCCCAGGCAGCAAAGUGCUUGAGUUGCCGUGUCUUGUGCUGGGGCUCUGGGGGGCCACACCGCCUCUGCUGCAUGGCGGAGGACAGCGGCCCUAGGGUGUGAACCAGGAGUGCAGUGGCCAGGAGGACGGCGCUGGUGCCAGCCCCAGCUCUCUUCCUCUUCCCAGCUGUGGGGGCCAGGACUGGGGAACCUAAUGUUUGCCUCAUCGUUCUGCUAUGGCCUCUCGAUACAGCACAUCUGGAUUCCGGGGCCCAGAUGUGUGGUUACCACAGCGACCUUGGUCCCACUGGAAGAAGCUACAGAAGUCCAGACCUCCCACCCUGCAGCAAGUCCUUCAAGAAGCCACUCUGUUUGCUUCUGGCUCAAGUCCUCAGCCCCAGCCUUUCCCAGAGCUGUACAGGAGGGGAGAGAGAGCCCAGUUCUGGAAUCAGAAGCCCACCUUCACCACCGUCAAAGUCCUGGACAGAGACCCGACAUCUGGGAGCCUCUGUUUGCUCACCACGAAGUGGGAUUAAUAAAAUGCCAGCUCU
Molecule: long non-coding RNA, 1833 nt
Organism: Fukomys damarensis (Damara mole-rat)
Lineage: Eukaryota; Metazoa; Chordata; Mammalia; Rodentia; Bathyergidae
Exons: 4
Source: RefSeq, a predicted model, not a curated record